UACGUAGGGUGCAAGCGUUGUCCGGAAUUAUUGGGCGUAAAGAGCUCGUAGGCGGUCUGUCGCGUCGGAUGUGAAAACCCAGGGCUCAACCCUGGGCCUGCAUUCGAUACGGGCAGACUAGAGUACGGCAGGGGAGACUGGAAUUCCUGGUGUAGCGGUGAAAUGCGCAGAUAUCGGAAGGAACACCAGUGGCGAAAGCGGCUUCCUGGUCCAGCACCGACGUUCAGGCACGAAAGCGUGGGGAGCAAACAGG
RNAcentral lists this ribosomal RNA (253 nucleotides) under uncultured bacterium. RNAcentral describes it as "partial 16S ribosomal RNA". It matches the Rfam family "Bacterial small subunit ribosomal RNA", at positions 524 to 776 of the family's 1533-position model. The record is from RNAcentral.